UACGGAGGGUGCAAGCGUUAUUCGGAUUUAUUGGGUUUAAAGGGUGCGCAGGCGGAAUAUUAAGUCAGUGGUGAAAUCCUCCCGCUUAACGGGAGAACUGCCAUUGAUACUGAUAUUCUUGAGUCUGGCUGAUGUGGGCAGAAUGUGCCAUGUAGCGGUGAAAUGCUUAGAUAUGGCACAGAAUACCAAUUGCGAAGGCAGCUCACAAAACCAGUACUGACGCUCAGGCACGAAAGCGUGGGGAUCAAACAGG
This 253-nucleotide ribosomal RNA is filed under the name uncultured bacterium. Its description in RNAcentral is "partial 16S ribosomal RNA". It matches the Rfam family "Bacterial small subunit ribosomal RNA", at positions 524 to 776 of the family's 1533-position model. The record is from RNAcentral.